GGUGCCAUGGCUUAGGUGGUUAAAGCACCUGUUUAGUAAACAGGAGAUCCUUGGUUCAAGUCCCAGUGGGACCU
Alligator sinensis (Chinese alligator) is the source of this 74-nucleotide non-coding RNA. NCBI's taxonomy places the organism in Eukaryota, Metazoa, Chordata, Crocodylia, Alligatoridae. The record is from the annotation of a RefSeq genome assembly.